This 494-nucleotide ribosomal RNA is filed under the name uncultured bacterium. RNAcentral describes it as "partial 16S ribosomal RNA". It matches the Rfam family "Bacterial small subunit ribosomal RNA", at positions 28 to 507 of the family's 1533-position model. The record is from RNAcentral.
GACGAACGCUGGCGGCGUGCUUAACACAUGCAAGUCGAACGGUGAAGCGCCUUCCUUUUUGGUGGGUGUGGAUGAGUGGCGAACGGGUGAGUAACACGUGAGUAACCUGCCCCCUUCUUCUGGAUAACCGCAUGAAAGUGUGGCUAAUACGGGAUAUUCUGGGUCUGUCGCAUGAUGGGUCUGGGAAAGAUAUUGUUUCGGUGGGGGAUGGGCUCGCGGCCUAUCAGCUUGUUGGUGGGGUGAUGGCCUACCAAGGCGGUGACGGGUAGCCGGCCUGAGAGGGUGGACGGUCACACUGGGAAUGAGACACGGCCCAGACUCGUACGGGAGGCAGCAGUGGGGAAUAUUGCACAAUGGGCGGAAGCCUGAUGCAGCGACGCCGCGUGAGGGAUGGAGGCCUUCGGGUUGUGAACCUCUUUCGCCAGUGAAGCAGGCCUGCCUCGUUUGUGGGUGGGUUGACGGUAGCUGGAUAAGAAGCGCCGGCUAACUACGUG